AAGUCGUAACAAGGUUUCCGUAGGUGAACCUGCGGAAGGAUCAUUAACACGUAUCCACGUCACCUGUUGACAUACACCAAACCAAUGUUUAUAUAGUAUUGGGAACUGAGACACGUUCGCAAGAUCGCGGAUCGGAACCUGGUACUCGUGCACCAUAUUUUUUUCCUUCCCCCUUUUGAUAACGCCUUGACUCAAUUGUAGUAUAUUUCAUCUUCGUGAUGGUAUAGUACACAUUUGCUUCGUAUGUUCACUCAUACGUGUCAAAUGACCUAUUCAAUAUGGACUGAUGCAAGCAUCUAAUGUAUCGAACGCUUCGUUCCUUUUUGUCAUGAAAAGGUGAACAGGUGGGCGGCUACAUUGGUAUGUGAUGACACUUAUAUAGUAAAAUAUAUAUGAUAUAAUCACAACUCUUAGCAAUGGAUACCUAGGUUCUC
RNAcentral lists this unclassified non-coding RNA (434 nucleotides) under fungal sp. Its description in RNAcentral is "partial internal transcribed spacer region". The stretch from base 1 to 46 matches the Rfam family "Eukaryotic small subunit ribosomal RNA", at positions 1786 to 1831 of the family's 1831-position model. The record is from RNAcentral. Lineage: Eukaryota; Fungi.